CCUACGGGAGGCAGCAGUGGGGAAUAUUGCGCAAUGGGCGAAAGCCUGACGCAGCGACGCCGCGUGAGGGAUGAAGGUCUUCGGAUCGUAAACCUCUGUCAGCAGGGAAGAACGGUCACUGUGCUAAUCAGCAGUGAAUUGACGGUACCUGCAAAGGAAGCACCGGCUAACUCCGUGCCAGCAGCCGCGGUAAUACGGAGGGUGCGAGCGUUAAUCGGAAUUACUGGGCGUAAAGCGCUCGUAGGCGGUAUGUCAAGUCAAGGGUGAAAUCCCCGCGCUCAACGGGGGAACUGCCUUUGAAACUGGCAAACUGGAGUGUGUGAGAGGAUAGUGGAAUUCGAGGUGUAGGAGUGAAAUGCGUAGAUAUCUGGAGGAACAUCAGUGGCGAAGGCGACUAUCUGGCACAUAACUGACGCUGAGGAGCGAAAGCGUGGGUAGCAAACAGGAUUAGAUACCCGGGUAGUC
This 465-nucleotide ribosomal RNA is filed under the name uncultured bacterium. RNAcentral describes it as "partial 16S ribosomal RNA". It matches the Rfam family "Bacterial small subunit ribosomal RNA", at positions 338 to 795 of the family's 1533-position model. The record is from RNAcentral.